CGCAAGCCUGACGGAGCAAGACCGCGUGGGGGAGGAAUGCCUUAGGGUUGUAAACCCCUUUUAUCUGGGAAGAACAAAUGACGGUACCUGAGGAAUCAGCCUCGGCUAACUCCGUGCCAGCAGCCGCGGUAAUACGGAGGAGGCAAGCGUUAUCCGGAAUUAUUGGGCGUAAAGAGUCCGUAGGUGGUGGGGCAAGUCGGCGGUUAAAGACUGGGGCUUAACUCCAGAAGAGCCGUGGAAACUGCGCCACUAGAGGGCGGUAGGGGUAGAGGGAAUUCCCGGUGUAGCGGUGAAAUGCGUAGAUAUCGGGAAGAACACCAGUGGCGAAAGCGCUCUACUGGACCGCAACUGACACUGAGGGACGAAAGCUAGGGGAGCG
RNAcentral lists this ribosomal RNA (379 nucleotides) under uncultured cyanobacterium. RNAcentral describes it as "bacterial SSU rRNA". It matches the Rfam family "Bacterial small subunit ribosomal RNA", at positions 376 to 770 of the family's 1533-position model. The record is from RNAcentral. Lineage: Bacteria; Bacillati; Cyanobacteriota.